Molecule: ribosomal RNA, 1360 nt
Filed under: Talaromyces radicus
Lineage: Eukaryota; Fungi; Ascomycota; Eurotiomycetes; Eurotiales; Trichocomaceae
Description: SSU rRNA
Rfam family: Eukaryotic small subunit ribosomal RNA
Source: RNAcentral
AACUGCGAAUGGCUCAUUAAAUCAGUUAUCGUUUAUUUGAUAGUACCCUACUACAUGGAUACCUGUGGUAAUUCUAGAGCUAAUACAUGCGCAAAACCCCGACUUCGGAAGGGGUGUAUUUAUUAGAUAAAAAACCAAUGCCCUUCGGGGCUCCUUGGUGAUUCAUAAUAACUUAACGAAUCGCAUGGCCUUGCGCCGGCGAUGGUUCAUUCAAAUUUCUGCCCUAUCAACUUUCGAUGGUAGGAUAGUGGCCUACCAUGGUGGCAACGGGUAACGGGGAAUUAGGGUUCGAUUCCGGAGAGGGAGCCUGAGAAACGGCUACCACAUCCAAGGAAGGCAGCAGGCGCGCAAAUUACCCAAUCCCGAUCCGGGGAGGUAGUGACAAUAAAUACUGAUAUAGGGCUCUUUUGGGUCUUAUAAUUGGAAUGAGUACAAUCUAAAUCCCUUAACGAGGAACAAUUGGAGGGCAAGUCUGGUGCCAGCAGCCGCGGUAAUUCCAGCUCCAAUAGCGUAUAUUAAAGUUGUUGCAGUUAAAAAGCUCGUAGUUGAACCUUGGGCCCGUCCUGCCGGUCCGCCUCACCGCGAGUACUGGUCCGGAUGGGCCUUUCUUUCUGGGGAAUCCCAUGGCCUUCACUGGCUGUGGCGGGGAACCAGGACUUUUACUGUGAAAAAAUUAGAGUGUUCAAAGCAGGCCUUUGCUCGGAUACAUUAGCAUGGAAUAAUAAAAUAGGACGUGCGGUUCUAUUUUGUUGGUUUCUAGGACCGCCGUAAUGAUUAAUAGGGAUAGUCGGGGGCGUCAGUAUUCAGCUGUCAGAGGUGAAAUUCUUGGAUUUGCUGAAGACUAACUACUGCGAAAGCAUUCGCCAAGGAUGUUUUCAUUAAUCAGGGAACGAAAGUUAGGGGAUCGAAGACGAUUUAAGAAGGAUUUAGGCUGCGUCCCCCCUGUGGGGUGGGCCUAAAUCGGUAUUUGGUCGUCAACAGUAAGCUCAAAGUGUCUUGCUAGUCUCCCUUUCGGGGGAGGCAACACCGUCAAACUGCGGGAACGUCCUAAAGCCGGAGCUACCAAGCUGGCAUUGAAAGGUGUCAGUGGCCGGGGUAAUGACCCAGGGUACGGUAACAACGCUCCGGAUGUGACAAUGGAUAACCUGCAACCAAGCGCUACCGCCGGUUGGCCAUGCGUGCAGUUCACAGACUAGAUGUCGGUGGGGGGUCUGCCCCUUAAGAUAUAGUCGAAGCCCAGCGUGAAAGCCUGGGAGUAGUUGCAGAUACCGUCGUAGUCUUAACCAUAAACUAUGCCGACUAGGGAUCGGGCGGUGUUUCUAUGAUGACCCGCUCGGCACCUUACGAGAAAUCAAAGUUU